This 392-nucleotide ribosomal RNA is filed under the name Pseudamnicola sp. r KB-2019. RNAcentral's name for it is "partial large subunit ribosomal RNA". It matches the Rfam family "Archaeal large subunit ribosomal RNA", at positions 1909 to 2558 of the family's 2987-position model. The record is from RNAcentral. Lineage: Eukaryota; Metazoa; Mollusca; Gastropoda; Littorinimorpha; Hydrobiidae.
CGCUCGAUGUUUUUCCUUUAUAUCGAGUCGAACCUGCCCAGUGAUUCUUAUUUAACGGCCGCAGUACUCUGACUGUGCAAAGGUAGCAUAAUCAUUUGCCUUAUAAUUGAAGGCUAGUAUGAAUGGUUUGACAAGAAUAACGCUGUCUCUUAUAGAUUUUAUAGAAUUUGGUUUUUAGGUGAAGAAACCUAAAUAUAAUUAAAAGACAAGAAGACCCUAUCGAGCUUAAAAUAAUUUUUUUGGUAUAAUGAUAACACCUUGCUCAAAAAAAAAUUUUAGUUGGGGCGACUAAGGAACAUAAAAAGCUUCCUAUAAACUAUAGCUACUAAUAAGUAUUGAUCCAAAAAUUUGAUUAACAGAAUUAGUUACCGUAGGGAUAACAGCAUAAUCUU